GAUGAAGAACGUAGCGAAAUGCGAUAAGUAAUGCGAAUUGCAGAAUUCCGUGAGUCAUCGAAUCUUUGAACGCACAUUGCGCCCUCUGGUAUUCCGGAGGGCAUGCCUGUCUGAGCGUCAUUGUCAACCCUCAAGCUCAGCUUGCUGCUGGGUCCCCGUCGUUGCUUUAACGGCGGACCCGAAAGGUAAUGGCAGAGUCCGUGAGACCCUAGACGCAGCGAGCUUCUAGCACGCGUCUGGACGUUUUUCGGGCUCGGUCUUAACUAGAUGAUAACUUCCGAUUGACCUCAGAUCAGGUAGGGAUACCCGCUGAACUUAAGCAUAUCAAUAAGCGGAGGA
This 339-nucleotide unclassified non-coding RNA is filed under the name soil metagenome. Its description in RNAcentral is "partial contains 5.8S ribosomal RNA, internal transcribed spacer 2, and large subunit ribosomal RNA". The stretch from base 1 to 120 matches the Rfam family "5.8S ribosomal RNA", at positions 35 to 154 of the family's 154-position model. The record is from RNAcentral.